GCGCCCGUAGCUCAGCUGGAUAGAGCGUCAGUUUGCGGUACUGGAGGUCGCAGGUUCGACUCCUGCCGGGCGCACCA
This 77-nucleotide transfer RNA is filed under the name Candidatus Saccharimonadota bacterium. RNAcentral's name for it is "Candidatus Saccharibacteria bacterium tRNA-Arg". It matches the Rfam family "tRNA". Rfam says of the family: Transfer RNA (tRNA) molecules are approximately 80 nucleotides in length. The record is from RNAcentral. Lineage: Bacteria; Candidatus Saccharimonadota.